Ictalurus punctatus (channel catfish) is the source of this 844-nucleotide long non-coding RNA. The record is from Ensembl. NCBI's taxonomy places the organism in Eukaryota, Metazoa, Chordata, Actinopteri, Siluriformes, Ictaluridae.
GCACGCUUCACAUAUGCAGCGUUUAGUCAUUUCUCCUCGUCCUCGCUGCGGUUGUUUAGGCAGGUGAUGACGCAGCAAUCGCACUCGGGACCAAAACAAACCAGAUCGGGAGCAUGAGACCGAGGUGUGGUUCAAUUGCAGUGAGGAAGUGAUUCGACUCUGAAUCGACUCGGAUGCAGGAAGCGAAUCAAACAUGCCUUGUGUUUUGGUUUGCAAUUUUUUUGUCUCUUUUUGUUUUGUUUUUUUUGGAGAGUUCCAAGCUGCUAAACCGAGCCAAACGACUCCAAAUACGCCGCAAUACACAAAAUAUUAGAAACGAAUCGUUUUAUAGAAUUUUUCGAUUAUUUGUUUAACACUGGCUCCGCGUUCACGCCACUCAGGGUCAUUUUUGUAACGUCUCUAUGGAAGAAGAGUUUUCUCUUCUUUUUUUUUUUUUUUUUUUUUUUUUGUUUGUUUGUUUUUUGUUUUUUUAUGUUGAAAACAAAACUAAAUCAAAUAGGAUGAUUUAGCAGAAUGAUCAGAUUCACUGAAAUCUAGCACACGGUGUCCACCAUUUAUUUUCUUCUGUUUAUUUUUAUCUGGCUUGUUUGUUUGUUUUCAGUCUUGAUUGGAUCUUAAAGCAGGUUACACUUGUUAAGUCGGACUAAGCCUCGGCACGUCCUCACCGUCUCUUCGCUCAGCAUGUCCCGACAUAACACACCGCUCUCACCCGACGCGAGAGCUGCUGACGUGCACAGACAAAGGCAGCCAUUUCUCCCAAUCCCACUACAGGAAGUUCUGUCCUGCCGGAUGUGGAGCUGCAGAGGGUGAUGUGGCCGGAGACGUUUCUCAGGGCUACAGACAC